Long non-coding RNA from Gossypium arboreum, 352 nucleotides. RefSeq lists it as uncharacterized. NCBI's taxonomy places the organism in Eukaryota, Viridiplantae, Streptophyta, Magnoliopsida, Malvales, Malvaceae. The transcript has 2 exons. The record is from RefSeq and is a predicted model, not a curated record.
AAGAAUUAAAUGGAUGAAAUAUGAAGUUUUAUUAAAAGAAAAAGGGGUGAAAAGAACAAAGUUUUGUCCAUCUUUGUUCAUCAUAGCUGAAAGUUAGAGAAGAGAAAGGAGAGGAGAAAGCUCUUGAGUAUUCGGUCAUUAGGAGGAGGAAAAUUGAAGGUAAUCCCCAACCAUAGUGGGCUUGGAGCUGUGAGGGAAUUCGGAGUGGCCACCCGUUCUGAAAGUUUGAUUUUCUUCUGGUGAACUGGACAUCCUUUUAUUUACGUUUGAAGUUUUGGGUUUUCAAAUGUAAUAAGGCCGCUUAAUUAUUUUUGAUGGUUUUAAUAUGUAUUACUAAGAUAGGUAUUACUUA